ACAGUGGCAGGGAAGCUCCGCAAACCCGCGCCUGUCGCUUCCGCUAGCGCAGCCCGCGCGACGCGAGCCACUCGCUCGUUGGCAACACAAAUCCACUAGCAUUAGCUCGCCGUCCGGCCAUGGUCGCCGCGGCCUUCGCGUCGACCUCCUCCGCCGCCGCCGCCGCCGCGUACUCCUCCUUGGCUCCGAACCCGACAGCGCGAGACCCGGUUAGGAGGCGCACUCCUUCACUCGUGACAGCCACCAACCGCCACGUGCACGGACGCACCGCGACCAGUAUCCGCCAGGCUCGCCCCCACGACCGGUUCGUAAACCCUCCUCGCCCCCUAUUCGCGGCGGCGGCGGCGGCGGCGGAAGCGGAGGAGAUGGCCGCGGAGACGAGCACCGGCACCAAGCCCUUCGCGGUCCUCUUCGUCUGCCUCGGGAACAUUUGUAGGAGCCCAGCUGCUGAGGCGGUCUUCCGGAACCUCGUAAACAAGCGUGGGCUUGAUUCCAAGUUUCUCAUAGACUCUGCUGGUACGAUCGGUUAUCACGAGGGAAAUAAAGCUGACUCAAGGAUGAUAGCAACUUCCAAGAAGCGGGGGAUCGAGGUGACCUCGAUAUCCAGGCCUACCAGACCCUCAGACUUCCGAGAUUUUGAUCUCAUCCUUGCAAUGGAUAGGCAGAACUAUGAAGACAUUUUGAGCUCAUUUGAGAGAUGGAAAAAGAAGGAGCCCCUCCCAGACAGUGCACCUAAGAAGGUUAAGCUGAUGUGCUCCUAUUGCAAGCGACAUAAGGAGUCCGAAGUCCCAGACCCUUACUAUGGAGGUGCUAAGGGAUUCGAGAAGGUACUGGAUCUACUGGAAGAUGCAUGCGAGUCGUUACUUGAUGACAUCCUGGCGGAAAAUGCAAACAUUUCUGCUUGAUAUCAGAAUGAAUAGCCAGUGUGCACAUACCCUUGGCUUGCCAACACAUCGUUCAUUCUGCCAGAAGAGAUGAUAAAUUCGACGCAAGCAUCUUUGAGCAUGCUGCAGUGAUGCUGAUCAGCCAGAGCCAAUGUGGUCGCCACACUCUCAACAUCAAUACUCUUGCAGAGAAUGCUUUGGCAUAACAUCUUCAUCCUUUCGAUUGCAUACCUAUCUGCAGCCACGAUGAAGCAGGGCUUUGAAAAUAGCAGGCUGGAUGUCUUCAAUUUCUAUGUUUGGCAUCGACUUGUCACUCAUUGGCCCGUAGAACUGCGCCUUGAAUACUGGGGAUCGCAUUGCGAGGAUGAUCUUGUGAGCAGGGAAUGCCUCACCUUUAAGCUUGAAAACCACAUCAGCUUCAUCCUGUGCCUCCAGCAAUUUGCCCAGAUUAUCUGACAAGUCAGAGGGUGGCACCAGGGCCUCAAAGACCGAUGAGGUCUGCCUCACCCGUGGUUCCUCGAUGACAGUGAUUUCACACUUGAUCACGAGGCGGUCAUCCCGCAGGUAUGGUGAUGCUUCCAGCUCGCUCCUUUUCAUGAACUUUGAGUAGCCCCGAUAGGAUCCAGCUUUUAAUAAUGUUGGCGUUUCCUGGGAGACCCCUGACAAGGGCUGCCCGGAGUCCUCCUUCACCAGGCUCAAGUCCGAGAGGACCCUCACCUCGCCAUCAUUGCUGAUGAGCUCAACAAAGGCGGAGACGUACUCUUUGUCCUCCUUGUAACCAUCAGGGUAGUAGCGGAUGCACCAUUCGUAGCCGCCAACGGAGAAGGUAUCGGAACAUAUAUAAUUGCCUCUACCAAUGCCCUUGUGCAGGCUGUACCCAAUGAUCUCGAACGAGUGUGUGCCCCGCGCUAUCCCCAGGGUGCACCUCGACGAUGUGUUCACAACUUGCCUCUGGGUUGCAACCAUCCUGGGAGAUAGUGGAACUAGGCGGGUUGGCGUUUGGGGGCGGUGGAGGGCGGCGGGGCGGUAGGGUUAAGGAGGGCGGGGCGGUAGGGUUAAGGAGCGCAGCGCAAGAACUGGACUGAGAGAAUAUUUGGACGACAGAGAGAAGUAGAGGCGGAGGUGUAGAGCAUUUCCAGCAAGAUGGUCUAUAUCUCAUCAUCUGUAUUUCUAUAUAUACUGUGAAUUAAAAAGAUUUCAUCAUUUA
Lolium perenne is the source of this 2091-nucleotide non-coding RNA. NCBI's taxonomy places the organism in Eukaryota, Viridiplantae, Streptophyta, Magnoliopsida, Poales, Poaceae. The record is from RefSeq and is a predicted model, not a curated record.